Molecule: ribosomal RNA, 498 nt
Filed under: Staphylococcus aureus
Lineage: Bacteria; Bacillati; Bacillota; Bacilli; Caryophanales; Staphylococcaceae
Description: partial 23S ribosomal RNA
Rfam family: Bacterial large subunit ribosomal RNA
Source: RNAcentral
UUAACUUGGGAGUCAGAACAUGGGUGAUAAGGUCCGUGUUCGAAAGGGAAACAGCCCAGACCACCAGCUAAGGUCCCAAAAUAUAUGUUAAGUGGAAAAGGAUGUGGCGUUGCCCAGACAACUAGGAUGUUGGCUUAGAAGCAGCCAUCAUUUAAAGAGUGCGUAAUAGCUCACUAGUCGAGUGACACUGCGCCGAAAAUGUACCGGGGCUAAACAUAUUACCGAAGCUGUGGAUUGUCCUUUGGACAAUGGUAGGAGAGCGUUCUAAGGGCGUUGAAGCAUGAUCGUAAGGACAUGUGGAGCGCUUAGAAGUGAGAAUGCCGGUGUGAGUAGCGAAAGACGGGUGAGAAUCCCGUCCACCGAUUGACUAAGGUUUCCAGAGGAAGGCUCGUCCGCUCUGGGUUAGUCGGGUCCUAAGCUGAGGCCGACAGGCGUAGGCGAUGGAUAACAGGUUGAUAUUCCUGUACCACCUAUAAUCGUUUUAAUCGAUGGGGGGAC